This 5394-nucleotide long non-coding RNA is filed under the name Sus scrofa (pig). Its description in RNAcentral is "lncRNA (ENSSSCG00060053926.1)". The record is from RNAcentral. Lineage: Eukaryota; Metazoa; Chordata; Mammalia; Artiodactyla; Suidae.
AGUCUGGGUAGCAGCAGAGUCAGCGGGAUGGUGACUGAAUAUGAGGUGUUAUUCGUGGAGACAGUGAUGGAUACAGUGAGCAAGAAGAGAAAAACAACCCUUUUCUGGUCGGUAGGGGAGCUUGCACAUGUGUAACAGGGGGCAGAUGUGCGCUGUGCGGCCCAAGUAGCAGACUGUGCCAGUAAUUCACUCGCCCUGCAUUGCCCGCUCUGUGAAGAUGCAGCUGGGCCCUUUAAAGAGUUCCCCUGUGCCAGCAGGAGAGACAUCAACCUCCUGCCAGUAGAGGGCACUGCAGAGACACUGAAGGAGGAGUUUUCUUUCCCAGAACCAGUGUGGAGGGUUCCUGCAUUUAGACAACUUCUCUAGCGGCCAGAUCCUGCUGCCCCUGUGGCUUCCCUUGAACCCAGUCCUGUCCUGUCACAGCUUCUCCAGUGCCGGGCUCCUGCAGCAAGGGUGCUUCUCCAGCACCUGGCUCUAGCUGUGAGUGACGGGCAACAGCAGCCAGCAGCUUCACCCCGUCCUCCCCUUGGGCAGCCCAGGAGCACCGUGCCCUCCAGCAAGACCUUCCUCAUCAACAACUCUCCUUGGGACCCAAAAAGAGGGAUUUCCAGUGAGUUCCAGGGGGCAGUUUUCCAGCAAGUUCUGGCACCACAGUGACGUCACCAUCCAUGGAGCCAUGGCCAUGGCCUCCCCACCAAGGUCAGGAUCUCAGCCCCGGGGGGGCCUCUUCCUCGGGACUCCACGGCAACCCUAGGUGUCGUGGCCGUUCUCACAGAGGCUAUUCCGUCUUCUUUGCAGUUCGUUUUUCUUCUUACCCGCCAGUCUCUCGAUACUCCAGUCCCCUGGUAUCAUGAAUAAGCCUUUAAACUUCUCCUCUUCAAAUCACGAUGUGUUUCUGUCUCCUGAAUCGACCCUGACCGAGAGUCACCCACGGCCUCAAAGGGCCUUUUUCCAUUCUCCCCGUCCUUGAGGUCAAUUCCGCCUCCUUGCUGGCGAAUCAUUCCUGCUUCAAGCACUCACUCAGCAAUCGCUUACCGAGUGCCGUGGCCGAGGGUGAACCGGAGGCCCCUGCUUCGGCAAGUUCACGGGCAAGGGGAUCCUCGGGCUCUCUCUCCCCACUCGGCUCCGUGCUCUUGGGCCUCGCUGGUCCUCGGGCUCCUCCGCUCAGCCUCCUGGGCUGGCCCAGGGUCUUGCUCCCAAAACUGCGCAGUGGGCACCCCUCUCGAGUCACACACACCCUGCUUCAGCUGCUCUCUAAAUCCUCCUCCGCCGAGAUGCCUGGGCUUAAGUGACUGCAGACUUCCGACGGCAAGGCCCCCACCUUUAUCCUCCAGGCAUCCCCACCUGGAUGACAUGCAGUUACCUGAGGUCCUCCCCUUUAGAACCAGAUGCUUCAUGCUGCCUCUGGCUCCUCUAUGGGGAAGUGGCAGCCCCUUCCCUCAGCUGCCAAAGCCCCAAACCCCAGAGAGGACCGAAGUCCCACCUCCGCCGUCAGUCCCCCACACGGCACCAGGCGCCCGAUCCCGGGGACCACAGCUCUGGACCUUGGCAGUUAUCCUGUAACGCGUCUCAACACAUCUGGUGUCUCUACCUCCCACCCCAGCCUCUCAGCAAAGAUUUUCCACACAUGGCUUCCUCAAUCAAAACCCAGGAUGCCUGAUGAAAAUGUUCUGAAACUGAUUGUGGUAAUAGUUGCACAACUCCAUGAAUGUACUAAAAACCAUCCAAUUGCACACUUUAAAUGGGUGAACUGUAUGGUAUGUGAAUUAUAUCUCAAUACGGCUGUUAUUUUUAAAAACCCUCUGAUGCCGUCUGGUGCUGCACUGAGGGCUGCACGGCGCGGCCUCAGCCUAUUGCUCUGACCUGCCCCCCACCUCUCCCAGCGACGGCGCCACUCCAGGGCCAGUCCCGGGCGCCCAGCUCCCAGCCCCUGUUUGCGCACGUGUCCACACCCACAUCGUUGGCUCUUCCGAGAGGGGGGCUCCUCCCAGAGGGCCCCGCCCCCCCUCCCCCAUCCCUCAGCAUCCCCUCCCAGGGAUCUUCCAUCAGUUUCUGCUGUGUGCGGUCAUUUAGCUUGUCACGUGCAUACGUCUGUUCUCCUAAACAGGUGAGGUCGGAGCUCAUGCCCUGCGCUCCGCUCUGCUUCCACUCGUCCCUCCCGGGCCCCCCUGUCCCAGGCGACCCCUGAGGCAGAGAAGACUGUGUGAAGCCAGCCCCAGCAGCCGCACCAUCCCCGGCACAGGGUGAGGCCCCCAGCCCCCGUUCUAGGGGUCGCUCGGCAGGGCUCCCCAAGGCACCACACUAACAGGAAGGCCCCUGAUCCGCCUGCCCCAGGCCAGGACGUAUGCCCACUAUGGGGUCUGUGGCCUCCACCAGCCCCCAGAUGCCCCGGGUGCAGGGAGUCGGGAGGGACCUAGGUCAGGGUGCCCGUGAGCCACGGGGGUGCGGGGUGGGUUGACCAGCCAGCUGACCCCCUCCCGGGCCCCAACCAGGAGGUCCCCCAAAGUGUCUCGAGGGUCUGGGAGCUGCUGCUAGGGCACAGUGCCCCCUCACGGACGCGGUCAGAACUGGUCCCUGGUUUGCUCUCUCCUCACGCUCUACCCCAGCCCAAACCAAGCCAUUCGUAGGGGGGGGGAUGCAGGGGGUCGCGCGGGGAGGAAGAAGAGCCCAGGUUUCUGGGCAGCACAUCCCAGAACCUCCAGCCCUGGCCCAGCAGCCGCCCCUGCAGCCCUAGGUGGGUUCCGCCACCUCGAACCCUGGCUCUGCCAGGCAGAGGCGGGCUUCCCUGCACCACUCCGUACAGUGGGGUGAGGGAGGGGCGGGCCCCUCACCUGGGUCUAUCUAAGGAUACGAGAGCAUCUGAGUACUUGGCACAGAGCCUGGCACAUGGUAGGCACUCAAUAAAUAUUAUUAUUAUUUUUUUAAAGUAUUCUGUGAUUAAUCAGGGCAAAAGGCCUGCAAAGUGUCCUUAGGAAACCUAGAGUGUCGCCUCAGACCACACCCAGGAAUGGCUCUCACUGGCGCCUCGGACCGGCUGCUGCGGCCUGACCCAGAGGCCUCUCUCCCAGCUGAUGCCGCGGGGCUCCCCCGGUCCCCCAGCCCAAGAGCCUCUGCAACCAGAAUAAACAGCCUCAUCACCAGCCCCCUUAACUGGCCACCGCGGCCUCUGGGGGUCACAAGCACACACAGAGACAGGGACACACACAGACGCACUCACAUAGAUAGACCCAGGCACAUGUGGAAAGACAUGCCUGUAUGCACGCGUACACACACACACAGACAGACACACACACACUCACUCACUCCAGGCUCCCGGAACCUGGAGCAGGAGGAUCCCCGGCGAGGCCUCCCUGCACAUGCCUUGCACAUUUCACCUAAAGUGUGGGCCAAAGAGGCAUUUGGAAACCAGCUUGGGAACCUCAUAACCAUUCAUAACAUUGUUCUGAGAGAAAAUACAAAACAUUGCCCUAUAAACAAACAUUUGCAGUAGAAUUCCUCCAAGAGCUAGGGAUUGCCUGUGCUAGAAAACGAACAGAGCAAGAAGAGAGAAACCACAUAAACUUAGUUCGCCGCUGCAAAAUUAAUACCAAUUACAAAAACAUUUAUGUGAACUGCUUACCAUUUACACUUAAUUACCAUGCAGCACAAUUACGCAUACCAUUACGGGCCUGCCAGAUGAAUGAUGCUAUACGUUUCAGGGGAUUACACCACCACCUCCGUCCACACACGCCCGGCUUCCAGAGCGCUGACCCUGGGACAGGGGCACACGCGCAGGUCUGUACCAACCAAAGAAACGCCGGUUUCCACGCUCAAGUUGACAGUGGUGCCCCAGCCCCCCAGCCUGAGACAGCCUGACCCUGGCCCAUACCUUCCUGCCAACGUCCCCACCACGGGAGCCCCUGCUGAGACGCCACCUUCCCACCAGAGCCUUCUCAGGAAGGCAGAGAAGCUGCAAAGCUCUCCCGGUGGGUGCGGCCGCUUGUCACAGGGGCCAUGAAACAGCCCAAUGGCCAUCACAGGGGCCUGCGCACAGAGACAGCUGGCCUCGCUGUCCAGACCAAGGGCACCUCGAGACUCCACUAGAGCACUGCACCCCUUUCCCUGGCGCGGAGAGCCAGCUACCAGGCAAGGUCCCGGCCCUGCCCUGCCCAGGCCCUGGUCAGCCUCUCCCUCCCUCGUCCUCUGCUCUCCACCAACCCCCACCUCCUCUUCAUUAAAAAGAGAAAAGGAACACACCCUCUCCCCUCAUUCCCAUUGAGCUCAGCAGGUGCUCUUCAAAUACACUGGGGUGACUCAGGCUUGGGGCACAGAGAGUCCAUGGAACAUGAUAAACGGAGCUUCCCAGGAUCAAGGAAUUCAGAAGGGACAGGGGUCAGGCAGGACGGGCCUCCUGGGAGUCAAAGAGCAAGAGGAGGCUGAGCAAGGGGCAAGGCGGGCGGGCCCGGGCCUCCUCAGUGCCAGACAGGGACCAGGCACGCCUGAAUUUUAAUCCUCAAACACCUGCAAGGCCACCUGCAGAGGGAUCCUUUUGGAAGACAGUGACAUAAGAUAUCCAAGUUUAAAGCAGCGUUUGAAACAAACAAACCACAACGCAAGCCUGUGAGGUUGUCUCCACUUUGCAGAUGGCAAAAUUGAGGCUGCGAGGGUGCUCUGCAGAGGACCCAGGAGAUGGCAGAGCCAAGGUGAAACCACUGCUGCCCAGUGCCGAGUGUGGUGUCCCUGGCACGGUGCCAUGCUACCUCUUGCCUCUGCCCAGGGUUCAGUGAUGCCGACCUGGCUCAUGUCAUUUUUCUAGAAAUUCUUUGGAAACAGCCCUUCCUGUGAUACCCAAGAGGCUCAUGUUUCUAUUUUAGAGAAACACUUUUUGUUUCUUUUCUGUUUGCUUUCCAAGACUGCUCUCCCCUCUCAUCCCCUCCUACCUUGGCAGACCUGCCUCUGAAGGUCAAGUCUGCAGCUCAUGCACCAGUCAGCGGGUGAGAAGACCUACCCAGGUCCUGCAGGGGGAGUUAAAAGCCAGGGUCUAAGCCUUGCAGCGCUUCUCUGGGGUAAGCUCCUGAGAAGCAGAAGCCCCUGCUCAGGCCCUCAAACAUCAGUAUCCCCAGUGCAUGAGGUACAAACGCCUGGUCAAAUCACUUCCCUCCUUAAAAAUCUACAGGGAUCAGGAGUUCCCGUCAUGGCUCAGUGGUAAUGAACCCAGCUAGUAACCAUGAGGACACAGGUUCAAUCCCUGGCCUCGCUCAGUGGGUUAAGGAUUCGGCAUUGCCGUAAGUUGACAAUGCGGCUCGGAUCCUGUGCUGCAGUGGCUGUGGCAUAGACCGGCAGCUGCAACUCCAAUUUGACCCCUAGCCUCAGAACUUCCAUAUGCCGUGAGUGCAGCCCUAAAAAGACCAAGGG